RNAcentral lists this long non-coding RNA (2547 nucleotides) under Homo sapiens (human). RNAcentral's name for it is "HSALNT0120147". Lineage: Eukaryota; Metazoa; Chordata; Mammalia; Primates; Hominidae. The record is from RNAcentral.
UGCCCUCCAACCCCCUCAUGCCAAGAGGUGCAAAGUCUAGAGAAAGUUUCCCCGGUGAGAGUUACUGGGAAAAUGACUCUCGGUCCUGGGUAAAACUUUCUUUCUUUGUCAACCUCAAGGGCAAGUUAGUUUAUGGCCAAGAAUAUACACGGUGCUUCAAAUGCAAAGGAAGACACUCUCUCUUCAAAUGGUUUACGGCUUAGAUGGGGAAGAAAUGUCUACACUCUAGAAAUGAAAUGAUGAAAGGACCUUACAGAGCAGGGGUACUCCUGAGCGAGCCAGGGGAUUCACAGAUAAAUCUCAUCUUUAAUCUGGAUGCACAGAAAUGUCUCAUGCAAAGGAAAGGAAGCCCCCUAUGCCACCCCAUGACAUCCAUAUAAAUCACAGGUUUUAUUUCUCUGCUGUGAGGGGGCACUGCAGAAUGGAGCAACGUUGCAGACUCUCAUUGGGUGAUGCUUCAUUACUUGGUGGAAAAUCCCCAGGGCCAAAACGUUAUUUAAAUGUGCUAUGAAAAUAAAUGUGAUUUAUAUAUGUGUCGUCUGCUGAGACGUUCUUCUCUGUUACUGCAGGUGAUGUCGUGCAUCAGGAUUAGCGCCUCAAUUUAUCGCCGGCUCAAGCUCCACACAUGCUCCAUGACAGGGUGUUGUCCGCAUCCCCGAAAGUUCCAGGAAGGAGACAGUGUUUGCUGAGUGGUGGGCUUUAGAUAUUCAGCAGUGUGGUUGGCUUUUAUGGGCUGAGAAUGUGUGUGAGUGUGAGCGCAUGCGUGCUCGUGCAUGCUGGUGUUGGGCCUGGGGCACUGUGUUGUUUGAAAGGCGCAGGGAACAGACACUUUGUACUCAGAUGCAUCAAUUUCCAACGGCAGCAGAAUGCUGUUUCUGGUUGAAAGAGAAAGAAGAAAGCGAAAUCUUCAUUUCAGCUUAGGAAUGGGGUCCACAUGUUUAGCUCAAAGUGAGUGGAAAUCUCUGAAAAGCAGGUUUGGGCUAAUGAAUGUCAGCAGGCCUUCAAUGUAAAUGGGAUUUGAUUAGCAGGAAGGAGUGUGGUUGGGAUGUUUCCAUUACCAAAGAAUGAUAUAGAGGGGCAAGGCUUGUCUUAAGGGGAUGAAGAAGGUCCCUCCAACUGCCCAAGUAGAUCCUUUUCCAGUAGGCUUUCAGACGCUCAGAAAACAUGGGGCUGACCUUGGCUUCUACCACAUGCCAUGGGGCACGAGACCAUUGUUCCAGACAAGUAAACCUGAGGUGGGGGGAGGUGGCAGAGCUGCGACUGGACACCACGAAUGAAAUAUUCUACAAUACAAAACAUGCCACAUCAGUCCUCAACAUUGCCUUGCCUCUAUGCCCCUCAUUUUAAAGAUGACAAAACUGAGGACCACAGAGGUCAAUAUCCCAGAGUCUGGAACUCUUCAUCCUUGGAGAAUCCAGGUCUUCUGCUUCUGGAAUCCUUCUUCUUUGGGCAUUCUUUUAACUGGUAGCAACUCAUGUCUUGCCAGUCUUGUCUCUGGCUCCCCUACUCUGUUUUUCUUCAAGAUUAAGGGUUUAAAUGAUAUCUAAAGUAGGACCUACCUAGAAAAAAGACCUACAUAAAAUUCCUUUUAGAUUGAUAUGGGGAAGCAAACAAAGGAACUUACAAAUAUACUCUCUUAGGCUAUUAUUUUAAAUAAGCAACGGUUGCUCAGGAGCACUAAUGGGAAACCGUAAAAAAACCUUUUUAUUUUGAAAUAAAUUCAAAUCCACAUAGAAAUUUCAAAAAUAGUGCCAAGAGUUCCUGUAAAUUUUUCUUCAGCUUCCCUCACUUUACCGUGUUUGCUUUAUCCUUCUCUCUCUCUCUCUCUCUGUGUGUGUGUGUGUGUGUGUGUGUGUGUGUGUGUGUGUUUUAUUUCUUUUCUGAAUGGCUUGGGAGUACACUGUACACAUUCUACCACUUUAUCCCUAAAUACAUCAGUACACAUUUCCUAAAUUCAUUUACACAACCACAGUACAGUUAUGAAAUCCAAGAAAUUAACAUUGCUAUAGUAUUAUUCUCUAAUUUAUAGACCUUGUUUGAACUUCAGUAAAUGUCCUACUAAUGUCCUUUCUAGCAAAAAAAAAAAAUUGUUUUCCACUUACUUUGGGAUUGUGUGAAACUCGUGUCUCAUUUAUGGGGACUUACGUGAGAGGGUUGAGUGUGCUGAAGUUUUAGGCUGUUAAACUAAAAAGUAAACAUUACCUUAAAAAUACGUGUAUGUUAUAUCUAUAGUAUCUUCACCUUGAUAAUUCUUCUUUGAUAAUUAUGAUUAAAUGUCAUAAUGGGAAAAUUCAAAACCUUUAUAUCUGUGAACCAAAAAAUAAAACCAGAUUCUGCAUUCCUCGUGCAUUUCAAUUUGGUGUAAGUCUCUUCAAUAUCUGCUUGCUUGCUAGCUGUGCCUUUCUACUUGCCUGCUCACAAGAUUUCUGAAAGUCUUGGUGAUGGUUUUGGCUCUGAAUCCAGACUGAGUAAAACAAAAGUCCAAAGCGUGUUUUGGCAAAGUGUGGUUAGCAAGGGUGAUUGGUCUACAAGUGCGUUUCAGUGAUG